This 87-nucleotide transfer RNA is filed under the name Bacillota bacterium. RNAcentral's name for it is "tRNA-Leu". The record is from RNAcentral. Lineage: Bacteria; Bacillati; Bacillota.
GCCGGGAUGCUGGAAGAGGCAGACAGGGGCGACUUAAAAUCGCUUGCCCGAGAGGGCGUGGGGGUUCGAGGCCCCCUCCCGGCACCA